Molecule: ribosomal RNA, 1556 nt
Filed under: Escherichia coli
Lineage: Bacteria; Pseudomonadati; Pseudomonadota; Gammaproteobacteria; Enterobacterales; Enterobacteriaceae
Description: bacterial SSU rRNA
Rfam family: Bacterial small subunit ribosomal RNA
Source: RNAcentral
UUAAAUUGAAGAGUUUGAUCAUGGCUCAGAUUGAACGCUGGCGGCAGGCCUAACACAUGCAAGUCGAACGGUAACAGAAAGCAGCUUGCUGCUUUGCUGACGAGUGGCGGACGGGUGAGUAAUGUCUGGGAAACUGCCUGAUGGAGGGGGAUAACUACUGGAAACGGUAGCUAAUACCGCAUAACGUCGCAAGACCAAAGAGGGGGACCUUCGGGCCUCUUGCCAUCGGAUGUGCCCAGAUGGGAUUAGCUUGUUGGUGGGGUAACGGCUCACCAAGGCGACGAUCCCUAGCUGGUCUGAGAGGAUGACCAGCCACACUGGAACUGAGACACGGUCCAGACUCCUACGGGAGGCAGCAGUGGGGAAUAUUGCACAAUGGGCGCAAGCCUGAUGCAGCCAUGCCGCGUGUAUGAAGAAGGCCUUCGGGUUGUAAAGUACUUUCAGCGGGGAGGAAGGGAGUAAAGUUAAUACCUUUGCUCAUUGACGUUACCCGCAGAAGAAGCACCGGCUAACUCCGUGCCAGCAGCCGCGGUAAUACGGAGGGUGCAAGCGUUAAUCGGAAUUACUGGGCGUAAAGCGCACGCAGGCGGUUUGUUAAGUCAGAUGUGAAAUCCCCGGGCUCAACCUGGGAACUGCAUCUGAUACUGGCAAGCUUGAGUCUCGUAGAGGGGGGUAGAAUUCCAGGUGUAGCGGUGAAAUGCGUAGAGAUCUGGAGGAAUACCGGUGGCGAAGGCGGCCCCCUGGACGAAGACUGACGCUCAGGUGCGAAAGCGUGGGGAGCAAACAGGAUUAGAUACCCUGGUAGUCCACGCCGUAAACGAUGUCGACUUGGAGGUUGUGCCCUUGAGGCGUGGCUUCCGGAGCUAACGCGUUAAGUCGACCGCCUGGGGAGUACGGCCGCAAGGUUAAAACUCAAAUGAAUUGACGGGGGCCCGCACAAGCGGUGGAGCAUGUGGUUUAAUUCGAUGCAACGCGAAGAACCUUACCUGGUCUUGACAUCCACAGAACUUUCCAGAGAUGAGAUUGUGCCUUCGGGAACUGUGAGACAGGUGCUGCAUGGCUGUCGUCAGCUCGUGUUGUGAAAUGUUGGGUUAAGUCCCGCAACGAGCGCAACCCUUAUCCUUUGUUGCCAGCGGUCCGGCCGGGAACUCAAAGGAGACUGCCAGUGAUAAACUGGAGGAAGGUGGGGAUGACGUCAAGUCAUCAUGGCCCUUACGACCAGGGCUACACACGUGCUACAAUGGCGCAUACAAAGAGAAGCGACCUCGCGAGAGCAAGCGGACCUCAUAAAGUGCGUCGUAGUCCGGAUUGGAGUCUGCAACUCGACUCCAUGAAGUCGGAAUCGCUAGUAAUCGUGGAUCAGAAUGCCACGGUGAAUACGUUCCCGGGCCUUGUACACACCGCCCGUCACACCAUGGGAGUGGGUUGCAAAAGAAGUAGGUAGCUUAACCUUCGGGAGGGCGCUUACCACUUUGUGAUUCAUGACUGGGGUGAAGUCGUAACAAGGUAACCGUAGGGGAACCUGCGGUUGGAUCACCUCCUUACCUUAAAGAAGC